Molecule: microRNA precursor, 86 nt
Filed under: Pan troglodytes (chimpanzee)
Lineage: Eukaryota; Metazoa; Chordata; Mammalia; Primates; Hominidae
Description: microRNA mir-527 (MIR527)
Rfam family: mir-515 microRNA precursor family
Source: RNAcentral
CUCAAGCUGUGACUCUGCAAAGGGAAGCCCUUUCUGUUGUCUAAAAGAAAAGAAAGUGCUUCCCUUUGGUGAAUUACGGUUUGAGA